GUUCGGAAAACUGUAUUACCCCAUGAUAUGAUACAAAAUAAAGAGAGGAUCAGAAUCUGCACAUAUACAGAGACGAGCAGAUUAAUCGCUGCUACAGUGUCAUCUGCUUCCCUUUCCCCUCUCAUUUGCUCACCAAUCGCCAUGCAGAAUUGAGCGAUAUCUGCACACAGACGUUUGUGCUGUGCCCACAGCUGUAUUACUUGAAAUCUCAACCCGGUCUCGGACGCAGAACUCGGCUACAUACCACUCAAGCGUUGUUUUUUGUGGAAUAGAAAUCUUUCUACUCGAGCAUUAACAAUGGCCUCGCAAGCUGCCAAGGCCGUGCUAAAACAGAACAAGACUGUCCUGUUUAUAAGCGAUAUGCAGGAAAAAUUCGUCAACAACAUUUACGGGUUCGACAAGAUUGUUGGCAAUAUUUCAAAAUUGCUUAGGAGCUGCAAAGUUCUUAAUAUACCGGUGAUAGUGACGGAACAAAAUCCCGAAGCAAUGGGGAAAACUAUACCGGAGAUCGACCUCACCGGAGUCAGAGGACCUUUUGCAAAAACCCAGUGGAGCAUGUGUACGCCUGAGGUUAUGAGUCUACUGAACAAGCUCUGCGAUAACAGACCACCCGAGUCGAUCAUACUUGCCGGAAUUGCAAGUCAUGUUUGCAUCGAAAAUACAGCUAUUGAUUUGAAAGUGGGUGGUUUCGAAGUGCAUACAGCUGCCGAUUGUUGCUCGUCGAGUACUAAAAUGGAGAGGGACCUUGCUUUUGAGAGGAUGAAACAGAUAGGAUGUUUUAUUGGCACAACUGAGAGCAUAGUUUUCAAAUUAGUCCAAGAUUCAAGACACAAGGAUAUUCAGAAAAUACUGGAAAUUGUUUGGCCUAAAAAUUAAACGUAUAUACAAGAGUGAAAUACUGAUAUAUUGAUAGUCUCUGCAUGAAACAAAUAGUUGUCAAAACUCAAUUAUAUAUAAUUAAAGCUGUAAAUAAUAUUUUUUCGUGAAAAUAAAUGUAUAUUUUAGACCUUAAACAGGAAAAUUUCUCAUAUCUUGAUUCGAUUUACAUUGUCAUUGUGGAAGUAGUUUUUCGAAUUUAUUCACGAUAUAAUCGACAGAUAAACAUACGAAAUAGUACAAUUUUGCAUCAACAGAACAGCUUUUUGCCAAGAUUACAUUCGCUUUGAUGGAUGAAAAUGAAAAAAAUCUAUCCUUAUCUUAAAGAUAAGAAAUAUGAAACGCACAUGCACUGAAGACAACGAGUUAGGAUGUGCUUGAAACAAGCCAAUGAGAAAUUAUCUCGCGCGAUUGUCUUUACAAAUCCAUAUAACGACUGCAUUUCUCGCCAAUGAAAACCUUUUAAAAAAUUCCGCAAAAUAAUUAUAGAAAGUGAUUUUAACAACCCAAUAAGAAAAAUGUAAAUAGAUGAUGCUCGAAAACGUCAAGCGUUUUAUAUUAUAUCGAGUAACCGACGCUACUAUUAUAGUCUAGGCGCUGAGCACUUUUCGUCGGACUUGAAUGGCCAGUUGAUCACCAAGGUUAUUUCUAAGUAUUUUUGCCUCCUGAACAUGAAUUUCGAGGAUGGAAUGCUCAAAAGUGAUCAGGAUACAAACGAAUUAGCGCUGCCCCACCCCCUUCUCUCGAAGAUCAGUUAUAAUCAGCUGAUGCGGCAAGUCAGUUUUCGGCGAAGUUUCGCGAGGGAAUGAGCCUAUAGGUAAAAUAGUGUAGAUAAUUGUUAAUUCCAAGAAUAAUUUCGAAAAUGGCCGUGAAUGCCGCUAAGCUAGCUCUGAAACAAGGCAAAACGGCCCUGUUUAUCUGUGAUAUGCAAGAAAAAUUCGCCAAAGUCAUUUAUGAGUUUGAUAAGAUCGUCACUAACUCUUCGAAAUUGAUACAAGCUUGCAAUAUACUUAAUGUACCAGUACUGGUCACAGAGCAGAAUCCUAAAGCUUUGGGAAAAACAAUACCUCAGUUCAAUAUAACUGAAGCCAAGGGUCCCUUUUCUAAAACCCAGUUCAGCAUGUAUACACCAGAGUGGUGAAAUUAAUUUUAUAGGUUAGCAAGGAACUUGCUUCGCUUUGCAAUAAUGGACCUCCAGAAUCAAUCAUCCUUGUUGGUAUCGAAUGUCAUGUUUGCGUAGAAAACACAGCUAUAGAUCUAAGGAAAAAUGGUUAUGAAGUUCACACUGUAGCCGACUGCUGCUCUUCUAGGACUCAAGAGGACAGAUUACUUGCUUUGGAGCGAAUGAAAGAAAUGGGAUGUCACAUUGCAACAUCUGAAAAUGUCAUUUUCAAGCUACUAGGAGAUGCAAAGCAUAAGGACUUCAAGCAGGUACAGCAACUUGUCAGAGAACCUACACUAGCUACUGGCCUAGUGCCACUUUCUAAAAUUUAAAAUAAAACUAUUUGUUCAAACCACAUAUUUGCAUGUAAAGAUGCUUGUUGCUGAUAAACUAUUGCAUAUAGAUAAAUAUAUUUUUUUGAGAAAAAAA
Nasonia vitripennis (jewel wasp) is the source of this 2467-nucleotide RNA transcript. It is a transcript of the gene named isochorismatase domain-containing protein 2, with no coding region annotated. The record is from RefSeq and is a predicted model, not a curated record. Lineage: Eukaryota; Metazoa; Arthropoda; Insecta; Hymenoptera; Pteromalidae. The transcript has 8 exons.